This is a small nuclear RNA of Neogale vison (American mink), 104 nucleotides long. Lineage: Eukaryota; Metazoa; Chordata; Mammalia; Carnivora; Mustelidae. The record is from Ensembl.
GUGCUCACUUCAGCAGCAUAUACACUAAAAUUGGAAUGAUACAGAGAUUAGCUUGGCCCCUGCCCAAGGAUGACAUGCAAAUUCAUGAAACAUUCCAUAUUUUU